CCCGGACAUGUCAGUGUACGCACCUGAGGCUGAGUCGACCUAGCGGAGUCCCGGAUCUGGCUCAGACAUUCGUCUCCGAUGUUGGCCGUUUACCGGGAUCGACACUCGAGCAACGUGGCUCACCACCGCGCCUCACCACUCCUCCACCUCAUUUUACUGGGGCACAAAACACGGCCCACGUCACCCACCCACAUCGCCUUCACCGGCAUCACCCCAAACAGCAGGCAUCGAGUUUAAACCACGCGCAACUCCCUUGCCAACGCCCCAAGCACCAGGGUGUGGUCCGGGGAGGAGCGUCCGUUUUGCGUCUAUAAAAGCGACCGUCUUGGCAUUGCGAAUCGCACAGUUCACUCUCAAGAACCCCUGCAGCAUCUCAUCCAUCAAGCACCAUGGCACAAAAAACCAAGGAAGAAACUCUUCUGGAUCUGUUUAAAGCUAUCGAUACGGAUAAUUCAGGAACCCUCACGGCAAAGGAGAUUCUAGCCGUUCUAAAUAACCCAAAUUUGAAGUCACCUAAGAAGCACACUCUGAAAGAGGUGGAGGCCUUGGUCGCGUCGAUAGAUACGUCCGGUGACGGCAAAGUAGACUUCAAAGAAUUCCUGCAGGUGUUCAAGUCCCAUAUGUGAUGAACCACCAUGUCCUGCCGGCCAUCACCAGUUUACUCCAGCGUUCACCUAAAACUUACCAACACUGUUUCUGCCUGAAUUUAUGUAUUGUCCUCCGCAAUAUCAGAUAACAUGUUGUCUUUUGCAGAGUGCCAGAUGUUAAAUACCACAAUGCUGUUUUGGCAAAAGUAGGCCCACGUGUUACACAUUUUAACAAUAACAUUUAAAAUUUAAAAAGAAAUCGGCCCUUAAAUAAAAUUUUUGUGAUUUUUUUUUUUUCCAACCAUGUUUCGAUGAAAUGAUGAAAAACAUGUGAGUGUGGUGCUCACAUCCCAGAAGCCCAUUUUUACAUCAGCAGAAUCGAAUAAAUUAAGCAGUGCCUCGGUGUUUGGAAAGCCAUUGGAGUUCGGGUGGCGAUGAGAAUUUGUAUUUUUGUAUUCUCUAACUGUUGAUGUGUGGCACCCAAAAUAAAAGUUAAAUGGGGA
Petromyzon marinus (sea lamprey) is the source of this 1090-nucleotide RNA transcript. RefSeq lists it as uncharacterized. The record is from RefSeq and is a predicted model, not a curated record. NCBI's taxonomy places the organism in Eukaryota, Metazoa, Chordata, Hyperoartia, Petromyzontiformes, Petromyzontidae.